AUAUUGCACAAUGGGGGAAACCCUGUUGCCGUGACGCCGCGUGAGCGAGGAAGGCCUUCGGGUCGUAAAGCUCUGUCCUAAGGGAAGAAACGGACGGUCCCUUAGGAGGAAGCCCCGGCUAACUACGUGCUAGCAGCCGCGGUAAUACGUAGGGGGCGAGCGUUAUCCGGAAUUAUUGGGCGUAAAGGGUGAGUAGGCGGCCUUUUAAGUCAGAUGUGAAAGGCUACGGCUUAACCGAAGUUAGCAUUUGAAACUAAAAAGCUUGAGUGCAGGAGAGGAGAGUAGAAUUCCUAGUGUAGCGGUGAAAUGCGUAGAUAUUAGGAGGAACACCAGUGGCGAAGGCGACUCUCUGGACUGAAACUGACGCUGAGGCACGAAAGCGUGAGGAGCGAACAG
This 396-nucleotide ribosomal RNA is filed under the name uncultured bacterium. Its description in RNAcentral is "partial 16S ribosomal RNA". It matches the Rfam family "Bacterial small subunit ribosomal RNA", at positions 361 to 775 of the family's 1533-position model. The record is from RNAcentral.